RNAcentral lists this long non-coding RNA (369 nucleotides) under Capsicum annuum. RNAcentral describes it as "long non-coding RNA (CANN_LNC001315)". Lineage: Eukaryota; Viridiplantae; Streptophyta; Magnoliopsida; Solanales; Solanaceae. The record is from RNAcentral.
ACGUGGCAGUGACAUGUUGAUGAUGUGUGUCGAGUGCAGAACACCUCCUAUCAUGAGAGUGAUUGUAUGUGCGUUGGGGUGUAAAAGUGUUCACUUUUACAUAGUUUAGGUGUGUAUUAAGUCACUUCAAUAGUUUAGGUGUGUCUUUGACUUUUUGGAUAUAUUUUAGGAUGAAAAUGAUGACUUUCUCCUUGUAUUUAUCACGUAGUAGUUUAUUGCUUUUCAUACAAUUACUUAUUUAAAUUAGAGAUAUGCAUUCAGUACCUCCUCGAAACUAUGUCAAAGUGGCUAGACAGAUUCCAACUUCAUAUGACUCCUAUUAUCCAUGAACUCAAUUUUAGCGUAUUUUUGUCACCCUUUUGUGCUGAC